UACGUAGGGUGCAAGCGUUGUCCGGAAUUAUUGGGCGUAAAGAGCUCGUAGGCGGUCCGUCACGUCGGCUGUGAAAACCCGGGGCUCAACUCCGGGCCUGCAGUCGAUACGGGCGGACUAGAGUACUGCAGGGGAGACUGGAAUUCCUGGUGUAGCGGUGAAAUGCGCAGAUAUCAGGAGGAACACCGGUGGCGAAGGCGGUGUGCUGGGCCGUAGCUGACGCUGAGGCGCGACAGCGUGGGGAGCAAACAGG
This 253-nucleotide ribosomal RNA is filed under the name uncultured bacterium. RNAcentral describes it as "partial 16S ribosomal RNA". It matches the Rfam family "Bacterial small subunit ribosomal RNA", at positions 524 to 776 of the family's 1533-position model. The record is from RNAcentral.